GCAUAUCAAAAAGCGGAGGAAAAGAAACCAACAGGGAUUGCCUCAGUAACGGCGAGUGAAGCGGCAAAAGCUCAAAUUUGAAACCCUCGGGAUUGUAAUUUGAAGAUUUGGCAUUGGAGAAAGCUAACCCAAGUUACUUGGAAUAGUACGUCAUAGAGGGUGACAACCCCGUCUGGCUAACCGUUCUCCAUGUAUUGCCUUAUCAAAGAGUCGAGUUGUUUGGGAAUGCAGCUCAAAGUGGGUGGUAAACUCCAUCUAAAGCUAAAUACUGGUGAGAGACCGAUAGCGAACAAGUACUGUGAAGGAAAGGUGAAAAGAACUUUGAAAAGAGAGUGAAAUAGUAUGUGAAAUUGUUGAUAGGGAAGGAAAUGAGUGGAGAGUGGUUUAGGUUUCAGCCUUCUUUCGAGGGGGUGUACUACCAACGCCGAGUCAUUGUCAGCGAGACAGGGGUUAUAAACGGGUUGCCUUCUGGCUUCUCACCUAACCCCUCCACUGCCGACAACGACAUAAUCCACCCAUUUCACCCGUCUUGAACCACGG
This 540-nucleotide ribosomal RNA is filed under the name fungal sp. CS-2008-9. RNAcentral's name for it is "eukaryotic LSU rRNA". It matches the Rfam family "Eukaryotic large subunit ribosomal RNA", at positions 38 to 664 of the family's 3401-position model. Lineage: Eukaryota; Fungi. The record is from RNAcentral.